UCAGCUUCAACUGAGGCCAACCAGAUGUCCCAAGGCCAGGCUUCAGGGUCCCACUCCUCCAACCACCGCCCUACCUUUGACAUGAGAAACACAGGCUGGGAAUUCAGCUGACUUUGGGGAUUCUGUAACCCGCACAGCUAAACGCUGUGUUUGCUUUUGAGCCCUGUCAACCCUUGCAGGUGGAGGAAGUGAGCGAAUUUUUAGGGCCGUCGUGGAAGUUCUCUGGUUGUCAUACGGUGGCUUGAGCUGAGAGAGGGGAUUGAAUAUGAGCAGUCGGCCACUCAGGGAUCCGACGACUGGAGUCACGGAGAUAAUACGGGAGGAACCUGCCGCCUCUAGAGCAAGGGGAACAGGUUGGUGUCACCAGGAGCCUAGAAGCCAGGAUGAGGGGGCCUUGAAGAGCCAGAGCCUGGACCUCUGAGGAGGGGCUGCGGCAAUUACUCAGGGAAGGAGAAAACCACGUUAUCCACCGGGAGGGGAAACAGGGCAGGAGAGAGAGACACAGCGAGAGAGGGAACACAAGCAGGGGG
Callorhinus ursinus (northern fur seal) is the source of this 530-nucleotide long non-coding RNA. RefSeq lists it as uncharacterized. The record is from RefSeq and is a predicted model, not a curated record. Lineage: Eukaryota; Metazoa; Chordata; Mammalia; Carnivora; Otariidae.